This 445-nucleotide ribosomal RNA is filed under the name Nakaseomyces glabratus. RNAcentral's name for it is "SSU rRNA". It matches the Rfam family "Eukaryotic small subunit ribosomal RNA", at positions 550 to 1001 of the family's 1831-position model. Lineage: Eukaryota; Fungi; Ascomycota; Saccharomycetes; Saccharomycetales; Saccharomycetaceae. The record is from RNAcentral.
GGAGGGCAAGUCUGGUGCCAGCAGCCGCGGUAAUUCCAGCUCCAAUAGCGUAUAUUAAAGUUGUUGCAGUUAAAAAGCUCGUAGUUGAACUUUGGGCCUGGGUGGCCGGUCCGAUUUUUUCGUGUACUGGAAUGCACCCGGGCCUUUCCUUCUGGCUAACCCCAAGUCCUUGUGGCUUGGCGGCGAACCAGGACUUUUACUUUGAAAAAAUUAGAGUGUUCAAAGCAGGCGUAUUGCUCGAAUAUAUUAGCAUGGAAUAAUGGAAUAGGACGUUUGGUUCUAUUUUGUUGGUUUCUAGGACCAUCGUAAUGAUUAAUAGGGACGGUCGGGGGCAUCAGUAUUCAAUUGUCAGAGGUGAAAUUCUUGGAUUUAUUGAAGACUAACUACUGCGAAAGCAUUUGCCAAGGACGUUUUCAUUAAUCAAGAACGAAAGUUAGGGGAUCGA